GCGGGAGUGGCGGAACUGGCAGACGCGCUAGACUUAGGAUCUAGUGCCGCAAGGCGUGGAGGUUCGAGUCCUCUCUCCCGCA
This 82-nucleotide transfer RNA is filed under the name Lebetimonas natsushimae. It matches the Rfam family "tRNA". Rfam says of the family: Transfer RNA (tRNA) molecules are approximately 80 nucleotides in length. Their secondary structure includes four short double-helical elements and three loops (D, anti-codon, and T loops). Lineage: Bacteria; Pseudomonadati; Campylobacterota; Epsilonproteobacteria; Nautiliales; Nautiliaceae. The record is from Rfam by way of RNAcentral.